GGUGAGUAACACGUGGGCAACCUGCCUGUAAGAUCGGGAUAACUCGCGGAAACGUGAGCUAAUACCGGAUAAUACUUUUCAUUGCAUAGUGGAAAGUUGAAAGACGGUUUUGCUGUCACUUACAGAUGGGCCCGCGGCGCAUUAGCUAGUUGGUAGGGUAACGGCCUACCAAGGCGACGAUGCGUAGCCGACCUGAGAGGGUGAUCGGCCACACUGGGACUGAGACACGGCCCAGACUCCUACGGGAGGCAGCAGUAGGGAAUCUUCCGCAAUGGACGAAAGUCUGACGGAGCAACGCCGCGUGAGUGAUGAAGGUCUUCGGAUCGUAAAACUCUGUUGUCAGGGAAGAACAAGUAUGAGAGUAACUGCUCGUACCUUGACGGUACCUGACCAGAAAGCCCCGGCUAACUACGUGCCAGCAGCCGCGGUAAUACGUAGGGGGCAAGCGUUGUCCGGAAUUAUUGGGCGUAAAGCGCGCGCAGGCGGUCUUUUAAGUCUGAUGUGAAAGCCCACGGCUUAACCGUGGAGGGUCAUUGGAAACUGGAGGACUUGAGUGCAGAAGAGGAGAGUGGAAUUCCACGUGUAGCGGUGAAAUGCGUAGAGAUGUGGAGGAACACCAGUGGCGAAGGCGACUCUCUGGUCUGUAACUGACGCUGANGCGCGAAAGCGUGGGUAGCGAACAGGAUUAGAUACCCUGGUAGUCCACGCC
RNAcentral lists this ribosomal RNA (709 nucleotides) under Virgibacillus sp. AS06. RNAcentral describes it as "bacterial SSU rRNA". It matches the Rfam family "Bacterial small subunit ribosomal RNA", at positions 105 to 801 of the family's 1533-position model. Lineage: Bacteria; Bacillati; Bacillota; Bacilli; Caryophanales; Bacillaceae. The record is from RNAcentral.